UACGGAGGGGGCUAGCGUUGUUCGGAAUUACUGGGCGUAAAGCGCACGUAGGCGGCUUUGUAAGUUAGAGGUGAAAGCCCGGAGCUCAACUCCGGAAUUGCCUUUAAGACUGCAUCGCUAGAAUUGUGGAGAGGUAAGUGGAAUUCCGAGUGUAGAGGUGAAAUUCGUAGAUAUUCGGAAGAACACCAGUGGCGAAGGCGGUCUGCUGGGCCAGUACUGACGCUGAGGUACGAAAGCGUGGGUAGCGAACGGG
RNAcentral lists this ribosomal RNA (253 nucleotides) under uncultured bacterium. RNAcentral describes it as "partial 16S ribosomal RNA". It matches the Rfam family "Bacterial small subunit ribosomal RNA", at positions 524 to 776 of the family's 1533-position model. The record is from RNAcentral.